UAGGGAAUAUUGGACAAUGGGUGAGAGCCUGAUCCAGCCAUGCCGCGUGCAGGAAGACGGCCUUCUGGGUUGUAAACUGCUUUUAUCUGGGGAUAAAAAGGCCUUGCGAGGCAAACUGAAGGUACCAGAUGAAUAAGCCACGGCUAACUACGUGCCAGCAGCCGCGGUAAUACGUAGGUGGCAAGCGUUGUCCGGAUUUAUUGGGUUUAAAGGGUGCGUAGGCGGCUUAUUAAGUCAGUGGUGAAAGACGGUAGCUUAACUAUCGAGGUGCCAUUGAUACUGAUGAGCUUGAGUACAGUUGAGGUAGGCGGAAUGGACGGUGUAGCGGUGAAAUGCAUAGAUAUCGUCCAGAACACCGAUAGUGAAGACAGCUUACCAAGCUGUAACUGACGCUGAGGCA
Molecule: ribosomal RNA, 400 nt
Filed under: uncultured bacterium
Lineage: Bacteria
Description: bacterial SSU rRNA
Rfam family: Bacterial small subunit ribosomal RNA
Source: RNAcentral